UUACACCAGCUUGCUGGUAUGAUUAGUGGCGAACGGGUGAGUAAUGCUUAGGAAUCUGCCUAUUAGUGGGGGACAACAUUCCGAAAGGAAUGCUAAUACCGCAUACGUCCUAUGGGAGAAAGCAGGGGAUCGCAAGACCUUGCGCUAAUAGAUGAGCCUAAGUCGGAUUAGCUAGUUGGUGGGGUAAAGGCCUACCAAGGCGACGAUCUGUAGCUGGUCUGAGAGGAUGAUCAGCCACACUGGGACUGAGACACGGCCCAGACUCCUACGGGAGGCAGCAGUGGGGAAUAUUGGACAAUGGGCGAAAGCCUGAUCCAGCCAUGCCGCGUGUGUGAAGAAGGCCUUUUGGUUGUAAAGCACUUUAAGUGGGGAGGAAAAGCUAAUAAUUAAUACCUAUUAGCCCUGACGUUACCCACAGAAUAAGCACCGGCUAACUCUGUGCCAGCAGCCGCGGUAAUACAGAGGGUGCAAGCGUUAAUCGGAAUUACUGGGCGUAAAGCGAGCGUAGGUGGUCAUUUAAGUCAGAUGUGAAAUCCCCGGGCUUAACCUGGGAACUGCAUCUGAUACUGGGUGACUAGAGUAGGUGAGAGGGAAGUAGAAUUCCAGGUGUAGCGGUGAAAUGCGUAGAGAUCUGGAGGAAUACCGAUGGCGAAGGCAGCUUCCUGGCAUCAUACUGACACUGAGGUUCGAAAGCGUGGGUAGCAAACAGGAUUAGAUACCCUGGUAGUCCACGCCGUAAACGAUGUCUACCAGUCGUUGGGUCUCUUGAAGACUUAGUGACGCAGUUAACGCGAUAAGUAGACCGCCUGGGGAGUACGGCCGCAAGGUUAAAACUCAAAUGAAUUGACGGGGGCCCGCACAAGCGGUGGAGCAUGUGGUUUAAUUCGAUGCAACGCGAAGAACCUUACCUGGUCUUGACAUACACAGAAUCUUG
RNAcentral lists this ribosomal RNA (934 nucleotides) under uncultured Moraxella sp. RNAcentral's name for it is "bacterial SSU rRNA". It matches the Rfam family "Bacterial small subunit ribosomal RNA", at positions 70 to 1000 of the family's 1533-position model. Lineage: Bacteria; Pseudomonadati; Pseudomonadota; Gammaproteobacteria; Moraxellales; Moraxellaceae. The record is from RNAcentral.